RNAcentral lists this ribosomal RNA (377 nucleotides) under uncultured bacterium. RNAcentral describes it as "bacterial SSU rRNA". It matches the Rfam family "Bacterial small subunit ribosomal RNA", at positions 331 to 725 of the family's 1533-position model. The record is from RNAcentral.
CCAGACUCCUACGGGAGGCAGCAGUGGGGAAUAUUGCACAAUGGGGGAAACCCUGAUGCAGCGACGCCGCGUGAGUGAAGAAGUAUUUCGGUAUGUAAAGCUCUAUCAGCAGGGAAGAAAAUGACGGUACCUGAUUAAGAAGCCCCGGCUAACUACGUGCCAGCAGCCGCGGUAAUACGUAGGGGGCAAGCGUUAUCCGGAAUUACUGGGUGUAAAGGGAGCGUAGACGGGGAUGCAAGUCUGGAGUGAAAGGCGGGGGCCCACCCCCCGGACUGCUCUGGAAACUGUGUAACUUGAGUGCAGGAGAGGUAAGCGGAAUUCCUAGUGUAGCGGUGAAAUGCGUAGAUAUUAGGAGGAACACCAGUGGCGAAGGCGGC